This 254-nucleotide ribosomal RNA is filed under the name uncultured bacterium. Its description in RNAcentral is "partial 16S ribosomal RNA". It matches the Rfam family "Bacterial small subunit ribosomal RNA", at positions 524 to 776 of the family's 1533-position model. The record is from RNAcentral.
UACGGAGGGUGCAAGCGUUAUCCGGAAUCACUGGGUUUAAAGGGUGCGUAGGCGGUCUUAUAAGUCAGUCGUGAAAUCGCUGGGCUCAACCCAUGCAAUUGCGAUUGAUACUGUUUGACUUGAAUCAGGAUGAGGUAGGCGGAAUGUGGCAUGUAGCGGUGAAAUGCAUAGAUAUGCCAUAGAACACCGAUUGCGAAGGCAGCUUGCUGGACCUGAAUUGACGCUGAGGCACGAAAGCGUGGGGAGCAAACAGG